RNAcentral lists this ribosomal RNA (816 nucleotides) under uncultured Pelagibacterales bacterium. RNAcentral describes it as "bacterial SSU rRNA". It matches the Rfam family "Bacterial small subunit ribosomal RNA", at positions 563 to 1378 of the family's 1533-position model. Lineage: Bacteria; Pseudomonadati; Pseudomonadota; Alphaproteobacteria; Candidatus Pelagibacterales. The record is from RNAcentral.
AAGCGCGCGUAGGCCGUUGAGUUAGUUAAUUGUGAAAUCCCAAAGCUUAACUUUGGAACUGCAAUUAAAACUGCUCGACUAGAGUUUGAUAGAGGAAAGCGGAAUACAUAGUGUAGAGGUGAAAUUCGUAGAUAUUAUGUAGAACACCAGUUGCGAAGGCGGCUUUCUGGAUCAACACUGACGCUGAGGCGCGAAAGUAUGGGUAGCAAAGAGGAUUAGAUACCCUCGUAGUCCAUACCAUAAACGAUGAUUGCUAGAUGUUAGAAAUUUAUUUUCAGUAUCGCAGCUAACGCAUUAAGCAAUCCGCCUGGGGAGUACGACCGCAAAGUUAAAACUCAAAUGAAUUGACGGGGACCCGCACAAGCGGUGGAGCAUGUGGUUUAAUUCGAAGAUACGCGCAGAACCUUACCAACCCUUGACAUGUCUGUCGCGAGUUUAGGAAACUAGACUUUUCGGUUCGGCCGGACAGAACACAGGUGCUGCAUGGCUGUCGUCAGCUCGUGUCGUGAGAUGUUGGGUUAAGUCCCGCAACGAGCGCAACCCCUACUUUUAGUUGCCAUCAGGUCAUGCUGGGCACUCUGAAAGAACUGCCAGUGAUAAGCUGGAGGAAGGUGGGGAUGACGUCAAGUCCUCAUGGCCCUUACGGGUUGGGCUACACACGUGCUACAAUGGUAGUGACAAUGAGAUGCAAAGUGGCGACGCUAAGCUAAACUCAAAAAUCUACCUCAGUUCGGAUUGCACUCUGCAACUCGAGUGCAUGAAGCUGGAAUCGCUAGUAAUCGUAGAUCAGCGUGCUACGGUGAAUACGUUCCCGGG